This 73-nucleotide transfer RNA is filed under the name Heliobacterium mobile. Its description in RNAcentral is "Heliobacillus mobilis tRNA". It matches the Rfam family "tRNA". Rfam says of the family: Transfer RNA (tRNA) molecules are approximately 80 nucleotides in length. Their secondary structure includes four short double-helical elements and three loops (D, anti-codon, and T loops). Further hydrogen bonds mediate the characteristic L-shaped molecular structure. tRNAs have two regions of fundamental functional importance: the anti-codon, which is responsible for specific mRNA codon recognition, and the 3' end, to which the tRNAs corresponding amino acid is attached (by aminoacyl-tRNA synthetases). tRNAs cope with the degeneracy of the genetic code in two manners: having more than one tRNA (with a specific anti-codon) for a particular amino acid; and 'wobble' base-pairing, i.e. permitting non-standard base-pairing at the 3rd anti-codon position. RNAcentral also lists the same sequence under 1 other name. The record is from Rfam by way of RNAcentral. Lineage: Bacteria; Bacillati; Bacillota; Clostridia; Eubacteriales; Heliobacteriaceae.
GGGGGUGUAGCUCAGCUGGGAGAGCACCUGCCUUGCAAGCAGGGGGUCAGCGGUUCGAUCCCGCUCAUCUCCA